UGGGGAAUAUUGGACAAUGGGCGAAAGCCUGAUCCAGCCAUGCCGCGUGUGUGAAGAAGGUCUUCGGAUUGUAAAGCACUUUAAGUUGGGAGGAAGGGCAGUUACCUAAUACGUGAUUGUUUUGACGUUACCGACAGAAUAAGCACCGGCUAACUCUGUGCCAGCAGCCGCGGUAAUACAGAGGGUGCAAGCGUUAAUCGGAAUUACUGGGCGUAAAGCGCGCGUAGGUGGUUAGUUAAGUUGGAUGUGAAAUCCCCGGGCUCAACCUGGGAACUGCAUUCAAAACUGACUGACUAGAGUAUGGUAGAGGGUGGUGGAAUUUCCUGUGUAGCGGUGAAAUGCGUAGAUAUAGGAAGGAACACCAGUGGCGAAGGCGACCACCUGGACUGAUACUGACACUGAGGU
RNAcentral lists this ribosomal RNA (405 nucleotides) under uncultured bacterium. RNAcentral's name for it is "bacterial SSU rRNA". It matches the Rfam family "Bacterial small subunit ribosomal RNA", at positions 355 to 752 of the family's 1533-position model. The record is from RNAcentral.